GAUCACCAGACUGUUGAGGCAAGACCGGUUCAGGUAACAAGCUAUAAUAUUCAAAAGGAAUCAGGAGAUACUGACAACAAAGGCGGUUGUUACAUGGACGUGACACAUGCUGCUGAUCCGAUAUCGGUUGCUGCCACAAAUGGAACCAAUGAAGGAGGCUCAGCGUCUAAGGUUAGCGCUGGUAAAAUGAAAAGGAGAAUAUGUCAUGAGUGUGGAUUAAAGGGUCAUCUUUCUUCUGCAUGUCCUAAGAAGCAGC
RNAcentral lists this long non-coding RNA (256 nucleotides) under Brassica rapa (field mustard). RNAcentral describes it as "long non-coding RNA (BRAP_LNC007241)". The record is from RNAcentral. Lineage: Eukaryota; Viridiplantae; Streptophyta; Magnoliopsida; Brassicales; Brassicaceae.